Molecule: long non-coding RNA, 832 nt
Filed under: Triticum aestivum (bread wheat)
Lineage: Eukaryota; Viridiplantae; Streptophyta; Magnoliopsida; Poales; Poaceae
Description: long non-coding RNA (TAES_LNC017312)
Source: RNAcentral
UUUGCCCGCUCGCCGGGGGUCGAAGAGCAUCACACGUUCCCCGGACUCAAAGCAACGAGCGAGCCAGCACUUUCUGCUCAGAUCACCCGAUGGGUUCCAGGUCCUGCUCCUACGUCUUCUUGCUCGGCCUUUGCUCCCUGCUGCUAGUGGUGCUUUCAGGCCAGCGCACGCUAGCUCGAGACACUCCCGUGUCCACAGCAACGGCCUUGGCUCCAUUUGUUCAUGCGCCUGCCAAGGGCGACGCCGGCGGCCACCGUAAGUAACCCACUUGCUCAACACUCGUUCCUAUGGAGUUAUGCUUCAACACUCGUAGCUAGCUGGUGUUCAUGCAUAGCUUGUGUGACCACAGGUGCUGAUGUGGAUAAGCCUCGAGUAUCGGAUGAGAAGCCAACAAUAACCGGAAUAAUCUGGAGGCCCGUGCCUAAGAUCCACUGCCCGUCCAUCUUUUGCGGUACCAAGGCUGCCACUGCCACUGCCCCUGCGGCAACGGCACAUCCAUGACAAGAAGAAGAUAGAGUGGUGGUUCGCAAUGUAAUCAUAUGCAUGUUUUCCUACCCUGGUUUUAGUAAUUUAGAUAUAUAUGUAUGUGUUCCACGAGUGUUGCAGCGUGCCUGCAAAGGCCUCUCGAUGGAUACUAGUAGUGCUAUGGUAGCACGGUCGGGUUGUAGUUUCAUUCAUUGUAUCUGUCGAUCAUGCAAUUGGUUGCUGUCUCUCGGUCCUUUUUUUGUUGUUGUUGAGGAAUAACAACGUGUUCAUUUUUUUUUUGAGGAAUUUCCGAAAGCUGUAACCGUGCGACCCUUGCGACGCACCUCACGUUCGCCCAUAAAACAAC